This is a long non-coding RNA of Poecilia latipinna (sailfin molly), 503 nucleotides long. RefSeq lists it as uncharacterized. Lineage: Eukaryota; Metazoa; Chordata; Actinopteri; Cyprinodontiformes; Poeciliidae. The transcript is spliced from 3 exons. The record is from RefSeq and is a predicted model, not a curated record.
UCAACAAGAACAUCCACAUUUCUCAUGUGCGCAGACAAAAACCACAGAAGCAACACAGCAAGAUCAGAUGUUAAAGGGAUCCACGAUUAGCUGAACAUGGUGGCCUAAAUAUGUUCCAAGUUUCCUAUUAACUGAGAAAAAUGCUGUCUGAGAAACGCCAAAACUCAUAAAUACUUCAAAAAAACUUUGAUCUUUGUUAUAUUUUUCACUCAUGGAGUUCGCCAUUUUUUGGAGCAAUGCAUGCUGGGAUGAUGAGGCUUGGAUCCGUUCUGUACUGGGACCUACAGAGUAAACACAGGGAGGAUAACUCCCCCCCCCCGAGUUGUUGUUCAUCAUAAUGCGUUUGGUGCAAAUUUAGACAAUGUGACUCUGUGUAACUAAAAAAAGUGGGACAGACCCGAACACAACUUCCGCAGGACCCUCAACAUUUUUCUCCAGAACACUUUGAGUCAUUUGUAUGAGCAAAACUGACGAAGGCUCUAACAGCUUUCACCAGUCCGACA